GUUCUCAGUUCGGAUCGGAGUCUGCAACCCGACUCCGUGAAGCUGGAUUCGCUAGUAAUCGCGCAUCAGCCAUGGCGCGGUGAAUACGUUCCCGGGCCCUGUACACACCGCCCGUCAAGCCAUGGGAGCCGGGGGUGCUUGAAGUGCGUCGCCGCAAGGCGCGCCCUAGAGCAAAACCGGUGACUGGGGCUAAGUCGUAACAAGGUAUC
This 209-nucleotide ribosomal RNA is filed under the name uncultured bacterium. RNAcentral's name for it is "partial 16S ribosomal RNA". It matches the Rfam family "Bacterial small subunit ribosomal RNA", at positions 1284 to 1500 of the family's 1533-position model. The record is from RNAcentral.